UUCUCAUGAUAAUGUGCGGCAGGUGGGCACUGGUUCCUCGCUGGCCAGGAUGUGCUGGAGGCAGAGAGGUCUCGGAUGUCAUCGCUUACUGGUAGUGGUCCUCCUUUCGCGCACGCGACCGCAGGUUUCUAUCUGCUCCGUCGGGCAUCAUCGCAUUACCUCAGACUGCACUGGCUCUGCCUCUCCUGCCGAGCGAAGGCUUCUAACCUUCCUUCCACGAUUUUAAAGGUGAAGAGUGUCCCAUUGGCUGGAGGAGUGGAGUUCCACUUCAGAAAAAGAGCUCUCAUCUUGCAAGUUAACACAGAAACCCAUUUUAGUGGAUUGAGUAAGAUUACUGCUGCCAUUAUUUUUAGAAAAAGGAAAUAAACCCCAAGACGACUAAUUCUUGAGGUGGUAAAUGGUAAAGGAAAUGGUUCUCUUGUUACACCCAUGAUUGUUCCAGUGCCCUGGUCUUCUCCAAGAACAGGUGUGCUCUUCAACGGGUGUCUGUCAUAUGCUCAGUGUGCCACAGACCACAUCAUUUUCCCAUCUGCACACUGGGUCACCACAUCCUGAUCUUGAAAAGCUGAAAUGUAAACUGAACUAUGUUCCUUUUAGGACUCGAAGUGAUUUAUGUGAAUUAACUUCUUGCCUAAAUUUCCAUACAUUAAAGGUUUUUCUACACGUGGUUUGCCUUGCCUUGAGGAAAUGAAACAUAUAAACCAAGACCUUUUCAUUACAUGCUAUUUUAUAUGCCAAGAGGCAAAAGUAUUUGUUUCGUGUAUUUGUUUCAUGUAUUUGUUUCAUAUAUAUAAUUUUAGGUUUCUCAGUGUUUUUAAUUAUGGCUUGUUUUAGCAAAAUGGUUUUUUUAUUUUUUUAUUUUUAUUUUAUUUUUUUAUUUUUUUUAAAGAUUUUAUUUAUUUAUCCGACAGAGAUAGAGACAGCCAGCAGAGAGGGAACACAAGCGGGGGGAGUGGGAGAGGAAGAAGCAGGCUCACAGCGGAGGAGCCUGAUGUGGGGCUCGAUCCCAUAACGCUGGGAUCACGCCCUGAGCCGAAGGCAGACGCUUAACCGCUGUGCCACCCAGGCGCUCCAAAAUGGUUUUUUUAAAAAAGAUUUUAGAGAGAGAUAAAGAGAGAGCACAAGAGUGAGUGGGGGGAGGGGCAAAGGGAGGGAAUCUUCAAGCAGACACCCCGUUGAGCUCGAGCACGAGCAUGGAGCCCAGCUCAUGGCUCUAUCUCACCACCCUGAGAUCAUGACCUGAGCCAAAACCAAGAGUAGGAUGUUUAACUGACUGAACCAGCCAGGUGCCCCAGCAAAAUGGUUCUGGAAGUCAAUCUUCUCCGGUUUAAAUCCUAGCUCUGUAGUUAUUAGCUCUGUGUCUCUGGAAGAGCUAAGGAACCUCCCUGGGCCUCUCUUCCCCUCACAUUUAAAAUAAGGCUAAUCCGGGCCCUGUUGGGAGGAUGAAAUAAGCUAAUACUACAUUUUAAGUUUUGAGAAUGGUUUUUAUAUUUAUGUAUUUUUUUGGAAUAGCAUUUAGAGCAUAGUAAGUGUUCGUUAAGUCUUAUACCUGCCAUUCAAACCCAGAAUAGUUCAAUAGAAGGAAAGGCAAGAGAACAAGCUUAAAAUCACCAAGAUCUAGAUUUUAAUCUAAAUUCCUGGUCCUUGCUUCAUCUAGAAAAUUACUGAACCUUUCGGAGCUUCAAUGUCCUUACUUGUGAAAUGGGAAUAAUGCUAUCUACUGUGUAAAUGCUACUGUGAGGCUUAAAUAAAAUAAUGAAAAAAAAUUAUGUGUGAUAGAUA
RNAcentral lists this long non-coding RNA (1782 nucleotides) under Ursus maritimus (polar bear). RNAcentral's name for it is "lncRNA (ENSUMAG00000013054.1)". Lineage: Eukaryota; Metazoa; Chordata; Mammalia; Carnivora; Ursidae. The record is from RNAcentral.